AAGUCGUAACAAGGUUUCCGUAGGUGAACCUGCGGAAGGAUCAUUAUAGAAACAGAGGGGGCCUGCGCUUAAGUGCGCGGCUGCCACACUGACACACCGUGAGGACAGUAGAACACGAAUUUACUUCUGAACAAAACACCGACAAACGAUUUAUUUUUUUAAUACAAGCAGUCAGCAAGAUUUCUUAAUUGAAAACAAACUAAUUAAAACUUUCAACAACGGAUCUCUUGGUUCUCGC
This 238-nucleotide unclassified non-coding RNA is filed under the name Tetrapisispora fleetii. Its description in RNAcentral is "partial internal transcribed spacer region". The stretch from base 1 to 46 matches the Rfam family "Eukaryotic small subunit ribosomal RNA", at positions 1786 to 1831 of the family's 1831-position model. The record is from RNAcentral. Lineage: Eukaryota; Fungi; Ascomycota; Saccharomycetes; Saccharomycetales; Saccharomycetaceae.